AGGAGGGGCCACUCGGACCUGGUAGUCCUUCUCUCUGAAGAGAAGUCACCGCAGAGUCAAGACCUGAAAGGAGAUGAGCAAUUCAGAGGUGCCGGGAACAAUCUCGGGAACUGCACGACUGCCACCAAGCAGCCCAGAGCAGUUCUUGAUCGAAUGAUGACGGCUGCACAGAAGAGGCCCCCAUGGCAUGACUUGCUUGGCCAGACCUCCCUCCCCAGAAUAGCUGGAAGAGGAGGGCCCUACG
This is a long non-coding RNA of Lemur catta (Ring-tailed lemur), 244 nucleotides long. RefSeq lists it as uncharacterized. Lineage: Eukaryota; Metazoa; Chordata; Mammalia; Primates; Lemuridae. The transcript is spliced from 3 exons. The record is from RefSeq and is a predicted model, not a curated record.